Molecule: long non-coding RNA, 335 nt
Filed under: Capsella rubella
Lineage: Eukaryota; Viridiplantae; Streptophyta; Magnoliopsida; Brassicales; Brassicaceae
Description: long non-coding RNA (CRUB_LNC001894)
Source: RNAcentral
GAGAAUCACUUUGGAGUCACUAUUAAGCAGCCUCUCCAAGAACCAGACGAUGUAUCCGAAAAGUGGUUAUGAAGAUACUCUUUCCGAAACAGAGUGAUAGUGCUGUUAUCAGGACUCUUCAACGUGUGACAGAUGCCUCCAUAAGUGUGGGAGACACACUUCAUGAACGCUUAAUCACAAUUACUGCAACAGAGGUAUGGUUUUUUUGCAUGCUUAACUCUUAAUUCUCAUAUCUCUCUGUUUAUUUAAUUUGUUCUAUCUUUUAAAUAUUACUCUUGGUUUAAUGUUUGCUGCUUGUGUUCAUCACGCAGAACCUUAAAGACAAAGACUCCCCA